UUUGUGACGUAAUACGGUUAUAAAGAGAUCAUAAACUCAUCUCUGUCCACUCAGAUCUCUAGCUCCUACAUCCGUGUCCAGACAUCCUGACUGGCCAAUGAAACCAUCAUCUGCCUUUCUACCAGAUGAAAAGUAUUAACUCUAAUCUGUGAGCUCGCCUCUACUGGGGCCAAAAAUACAAAGUCCCAUUUUUUAAUAUGGAAAAUGUGCUUAUGGUGCCAUAAUCACAAUUUAUGGUAAUGAAAUCAUAACAUAGGUUGUGUAAUCAAAGCCUAAAAUUAAACUUUGUAGAGGUUUAGUAGAGGUUGUUUUAUAGGCCUCAGACUGAUCCGAUACUGGUGGAGUAGGUGGCCUCUUUCUUUCUUUCUUUCUUUCUUUCUUUCUUUCUUUCUUUCUUUCUUUCUUUCUUUCUUUCUUUCUUUCUUUCUUUCUUUCUUUCUUUCUUUCUUUCUUUCUUUCUUUCUUUCUUUCUUUCUUUCUUUCAGCAAUGCAGAAGGAUUCCAGCAGUUUUCCUUCUAUGGAUGCAAAACCAGCUGCUGCACUACUAACAAACAUAACUGCAGCAGCACUCCUUCACACUCACAUCCCAUUGAACACAGACGACAGCAGGACCGGGCCCCAGACACACAAUCAGCUCUCAGUGGGUUGCACCUUGGCCAUUAUGCCUUACAGCCUGCUCUUGAACACCCUGCCGAGACAUUAACUUCACAGCCAACAUCCGUUCCCUUUACUGAUCUGCUGCGCCAUGCCAUACUGCUGCACUGCCUCCACAGGACCGGAAAGCCUUGCAGGGACCUAACAUAUCCUGUCUGGGGCUGCAACAGCCACAGAUGCAUCUUAAGCAAGAGGUCAAAUUGAAGGCUUUGUCUGAACUUUUAACUUGUGCUCACUAGAUUGCCAUGGAGGUAUGCUGACCCAGACAGAUGGUGCUUAUGCUGCAGCGCCCUCUCAGCCUGCUCACCUUUUGUCUGCCCACUCGAGCUGGAGAGACAUUGCUCCCACAGGGCAGCUUGCAAAGGUCUUGUGGUGUAGGAGUGCCAGCCUUUAGAUGUGCAAUACUUUGACUGGAUUUAAAGCCCACAGAUUGCUGUUAACCACCUGGUCAAAUACCAUGAGGUCUCUGAACAGGCCUGUCGUAAUUCUUUUUUUUAUAAUAGGUGAAAAAAAGAAAAUUCAGAUCCCUGAAAAUGCCAUGUUCAAGUGGGCCAGUCAUAUCUGUAGUGUUACAGGGUCAGUCUUUUAAAUAAUGUGAUCAGUGUGUGUGUAAGUAUUCCCUGCAACACCCCUAAAUCUCUUGUUUUACUCUUGGCACUACAUGAUGUCAUAGAGAAGGGCUGCUAACUAACCCUCUGAGUAGAGAGACCACACUCACCUGCUGUUUAAAUCUUCUGACUGAGAGGGGCAGCCAAUCAAUUAAAACUGUGGCCUUAAAGUAAUAAGAACUUAAAAAGUUUUGUUUGACAUAGCAGGUGAAUGAGGUGUGUGCAUCCAGAGCUUUUACAACACAAAUCAGGAUUUUUUAUUUUUUAUUUUUUUUGAUCAAAGUUUCUCUGGUUGAAUGCAAGAAUUGAAAUACGGCGCUAGAAACGAGAACAACAGGUCCACUUUCAUGUAGACUGUGCGGUUGGUUUUGUUACACAAAUAAAUCCUUGUGUCUCGAAACUUCACCAAUUAGCCCAUUUGUUGGUCUCAGUUGUUUAAUGAGUUGCAAAAGCUCAAGCGUCAAAACUGCACUUUGUUUAAUAGGUGUUGUGUGCAAGGUGUGUUUUUGUUGCCAAGUGAGACAUUUCCCUUCACAGAGUCCUGAUAAACAUCCACGAUAACCCCAUAAAAUGGUGAAUUGUGUGAUGGAGACACAACUAUACUGGCACCUCCAUACAGAGAUGAGAGUAGGAUUGGUCUUCUUCUAUGAUUCAAAGGCUAUGAAGCAAAUCAGUGAAUUUACCAAGGUAUGCUUCUCUUCUUUCAACAAACUCUGGUCUAAUACAAUAAUAAGAAAAACGUAAGUAUUUUAAGCUUGAAUGGUGAUUCCUGUCACUCAUACUCAUUGUAUACACAACCUCCUUUGUUCUUACUUAUUUGAACUGAGUUGAAAUGUGUCAAAAGGUUGCGUUCACACGCCAAGAGCUUAUUAUAGCCUUUUUAUGAACGUGAACAGCAAGCAGCCUUCACAUGGCAUGCA
This is a long non-coding RNA of Astatotilapia calliptera (eastern happy), 2182 nucleotides long. NCBI's taxonomy places the organism in Eukaryota, Metazoa, Chordata, Actinopteri, Cichliformes, Cichlidae. The record is from Ensembl.